UCUAAGGUAAUAUUAUUCAUAUUAGGUUACAUCUUAUUACUAAACAUUAUCUCAUCUUCAUCUGUGUGUUCUUAGUUUGAAUCUUUAUUUUUCAUGUCUUUCUAUAAGAUUACUCAAGCCGAUUUUCUUUGAUUGUGAUAUUCAAUCGGAAAUUCUGCCACCCCUUUCAAAAAUCCAUAAGAACGGUUGGCUUUGUUUUCACUAUUUGUAUCCCUAAGUCUAUAUUUAGGGUUUUAAUUUUCUGAUAUAUUUGUUACAAUUUUUGUAACUACCAAAAAAAAAAAAAAAAACUCAUAAUUUUGUAAAUACGAACAAAAAUUUUAAAUAACAAAAACUCAUUAUUUUGUUUGCGAAUUCAGUAGUCACAUUAUACAUUUCAAUUUCCAUUCUUACUUGACAAUUAUAGUUCAAUUUCUUCUUUUAAUAAUCAUUUGUAUUGUUUUAAUGUAAUUCCUAAUUUCUUCGUGUACUAUUUACAAGCAUGCUAAUAAAUUAGUCACAAAUUUUUUUUUUCAAAUUGGUUUAAAAUUGCUUCUAUGAAUAGAUGGAGGUUUGGACGUUUGAAGAAAUACAUAAUGCCUUAAAUUAUGCUUCUCAAAACCAUGGAAAGCACAACUAGCUAGGGAAAGCAAAGGUAAUUGCAUUAUGGAGUUAUAGUCUUGAAUGAGUAGCAUAGCAAUGUGUACUAUUUACCCCAUGUCUACUCAAGUGAUGGCUACACUGCUCAAGAGCAUAUCAUUGAAGGGAUAGGGUUAAUGACAAAUAUGAAGAGGGUCGUGACAUAAGUCAUCUUUUUGAAUUCAUGUUUGGGAAUAUUGAUGGUUUUGGUGAUCUUGAUAUUGAUAACCUUGAUGAGAGGAGCGUCUUGCUACCCUAGCUUAUAUACUUGGAUCAUAUUUUAACAUAUAUGAUAUUAUAAGUGGAUACUGAUUGAACAAUACGAGGAAUGAGAAAUCCAAGCGUUGACCGAGGAAGACUAUCUCAUACCAAAAUCCGAUUAUGUUUCUACAACAGUAACUUCAUCGUUAGUUACAUCAUCUACAUUGUUUUGAUGAUGAAAAUUAUGAUGAAGAAGAAUUACUGAACAAAUUACGUGUGAUGUGAUAUGUGAUGUGAUAUGUAAUGUCAUUUAUAUUUCGAUUAUUUAUAAUGUUAUAACAUAUCUAAUUUAAAUUUUUAAACCGUGUAAUAGACGGGUACCUAAUGAAUUGUUGUUGUAACUUUUAUUUAUUAUUAGUGUUAUUGGUACUGUGUU
Molecule: long non-coding RNA, 1255 nt
Filed under: Helianthus annuus (common sunflower)
Lineage: Eukaryota; Viridiplantae; Streptophyta; Magnoliopsida; Asterales; Asteraceae
Description: hypothetical non coding rna
Source: RNAcentral